Molecule: long non-coding RNA, 1216 nt
Filed under: Homo sapiens (human)
Lineage: Eukaryota; Metazoa; Chordata; Mammalia; Primates; Hominidae
Description: HSALNT0359743
Source: RNAcentral
CGGGUGGCGCGGCGGGGCCGUAGAAGCGGUGGUAUUCCCGUGGGGCCGCCCACUCGCCCGCAUGCAGGCUCCCGGGCCGGCUGCGGAAGCUGUGGGCCUGGACUGGGGGUAGCAGCAGAGGGGCGGCCAGGUAGGUGCAGAUGGGGUCUUGCUCUGUUGUCUAGGCUGGAGUGCAGCGGCAUGAUCUCGGCACACUGCAGCCACCGUCUUCCAGGUUCAAGCGAUUCUCCCACCUCAGCCUCCCGAGGAGCUGGGAUUACAGGAGUUCAGUGGCAUGACCAGGGCUCACUGCAACCUUGAUCUGGGCUCAAGUGAUCCUCCUACCUCAGCUUCCUGAGUAGCUAGGACCACAGGUGUGCACCAACCACACCCGACUAAUUUUUGUAGAGAUGAGAUCCCACUAUGUUACCCAGGCUGGUCUUGAACUCCUGGGCUCAGGUGAUCAUCCUGCCUUGGCUUCCCAAAGUACUGGGAUUAUAGGCUUGAGCCACCGUGCCUGGCCUGUGAUCAGAAUUCUCAUUUUUUUAGUCACUAAAAAUGCUGGGGGGCACUCCAUUCUCCAUUAUGUGAUUAGUUCACAUUGCAUGCUUGUAUCAAAACAUCAUAUAUACCCCACAAAUAUAUACAAAAAACUUUAAAAUUUUAAGUAUUAAUUGCUCAGGAAAAAAUUAAAAUGCUGGGGUGCUGAAAUCUCAAGGGCCCCAUUACAAAACUCCUUAGGAACCUCGCCCUCUCUCUGCUGUAAGGACUGGUUCCAGAAUGAGAGAAUUUAAAAGACAUUCCCCCCCCAAAAUGUUCAUAAUGUCACCCCGGAAACCUGCGAAUAUGUUAUAUUACAUGACCAGGGAGAAGUAAGGUUGCAGAUGGCAGUAAGGUUGCUAAUGGGCUGACCUUAAGAUAAGGAGAUGAUCCUGGAUUAUCUGGGUGGACCCAAUGUAAUCACAAGGGUCCUUAACUGUGGAAUAGUGAGGUGGCUGAGUCAGAGGCAGAGUGAUGCAAUGACUGAAAGACUUAACCAGCCAUCACCGGCUUUGAAUACGGAAGACGGUCAUGAGCCAGGGAAUGCAGGCAGGCUCUGGGAGCUGAAAAAAGCAAGAAAAUGGAUUCUCCCCUGGAGCCUCCAGAAGGGAUGCGGUCCUGCCAACCCCUUGUCAGUGAGCCAUUUCAGAUUUCUGACUUCCAGGACUGUAAGAAAAUAAACUUGUCUUGUUUUCAG